UGGGGAAUUUUGGACAAUGGGGGCAACCCUGAUCCAGCCAUCCCGCGUGUGCGAUGAAGGCCUUCGGGUUGUAAAGCACUUUUGGCAGGGAAGAAACAGCCUGGGAUAAUACCCCGGGCGACUGACGGUACCUGCAGAAUAAGCACCGGCUAACUACGUGCCAGCAGCCGCGGUAAUACGUAGGGUGCAAGCGUUAAUCGGAAUUACUGGGCGUAAAGCGUGCGCAGGCGGUUCGGAAAGAAAGGUGUGAAAUCCAGGGCUUAACCUUGGAACUGCACUUUUAACUACCGAGCUAGAGUACGUCAGAGGGGGGUAGAAUUCCACGUGUAGCAGUGAAAAUGCGUAGAGAUGUGGAGGAAUACCGAUGGCGAAGGCAGCCCCCUGGGAUGAUACUGACGCUCAUGCACGAAAGCGUGGGGAGCAAACAGGAUUAGAUACCCUGGUAGUCCACGCCCUAAAACGAUGUCAACUAGCUGUUGGGGUUUAUUAACCUUAGUAGCGCAGC
Molecule: ribosomal RNA, 505 nt
Filed under: uncultured bacterium
Lineage: Bacteria
Description: partial 16S ribosomal RNA
Rfam family: Bacterial small subunit ribosomal RNA
Source: RNAcentral